UGUGUCGUGUGUGAAGGCGUACGGUGGAUGCCUGGGCACCAGAUGCUGAUGAAGGACGUGGGAGGCCGCGAUAGGCCUGGGGGAGCUGUCAACCGAGCUGUGAUCCCAGGGUGUCCGAAUGGGGUAACCUGGCCGGGGUGAUGCCCGGUCACCGGUGUCUGAAGAGAUUAGGGCGCCGGGGGGCACGUGGGGAACUGAAACAUCUCAGUACCCGCAGGAAGAGAAAACAAUAGUGAUUCCCUGAGUAGUGGUGAGCGAACGGGGAGGAUGGCUAAACCGUCUGCGUGUGCAAGCCGGUAGGUGUUGCGUGGGCGGGGUUGUGGGAGCGCCUGGUCAUCGCUACCGCGGUGGCGCUGGGUGUGUGGUGCUAGCUGAAGGCGUUGGAAGGCGCUGGCGGAGUGGGUGAGACCCCCGUAGGUGAAGGCACUGCAUGGCUGGUGGGGCGUGGUCCCGAGUAGCGCGGGACUCGUGUAAUCUCGUGUGAAUCGGCCAGGACCGCCUGGUAAGCCUGAAUACGUCUGGUGACCGAUAGUGGAUGUGUACCGUGAGGGACUGGUGAAAAGUACCCCGGGAGGGGAGUGAAAGAGUUCCUGAAACCGUGCGCUGUUAAUCCGUCAGAGCAUGCUGCCGUGGUGGUGUGUGAUGGCGUGCCUUUUGAAGAAUGAGCCUGCGAGUUAGUGGUGCGUGGCGAGGUUAACCCGUGUGGGGGAGCCGGAGCGAAAGCGAGUCUGAAUAGGGCGAGGUAGUCGCGUGCUCUAGACCCGAAACCGAGUGAGCUACCCGUGGCCAGGGUGAAGCGCGGGUAAGACCGUGUGGAGGCCCGAACCCACCAGGGUUGAAAACCUGGGGGAUGAGCUGUGGGUAGGGGUGAAAGGCCAAUCAAACUCGGAGAUAGCUGGUUCUCCCCGAAAUGCAUUUAGGUGCAGCGUCGCGUGGUGCUUGGUGCAGGUAGAGCGACUGGAUGGCUGAUGGCCCGGUGUGGGUACUGACGUCAACUAAACUCCGAAUGGCAUCAACGUUGCAGCGUGGCAGUGAGUCCGUGGGGGAAAAGCUCCAUGGUCGAGAGGGAAACAGCCCAGAUCACCGGCUAAGGCCCCGAAGUGUGUGCUGAGUGGAAAAGGAUGUGGGAUCGCCGAGACAACCAGGAGGUUGGCUUAGAAGCAGCCAUCCUUGAAAGAGUGCGUAACAGCUCACUGGUCAAGUGAUCCUGCGCCGAUAAUGUAGCGGGGCUGUCAAGUACACCGCCGAAGCCGUGACACGACAGUGUGACUGUUGUGGGUAGGGGAGCGUCCUGCACACCAGUGAAGCAUCGUCCGUAAGGGGGUGUGGAGGGUGUGGGAGUGAGAAUGCAGGCAUGAGUAGUGCAUGGACAGUGAGAAUCUGUCCCGCCGGAAGACCAAGGGUUCCAGGGCCAGGUUGAUCCGCCCUGGGUGAGUCGGAUCCUAAGGCGAGGCCGUCAGGCGUAGUCGACAGGACAACGGGUUGAUAUUCCCGUACCCGCGCGGCACCGCCCCAUACCAGCCCCGACUGGUUGCUGGUCAACGCAUGUCCCUGCGGGGGAUUCGUCCCGCGUGUGGGGGGUGUGUGGCUGGCGCUGGUGGGUGUGCUGGUCAGCGAGGGGGUGACGCAGGAGGGUAGCCCAGCCCGGGCGAUGGUUGUCCCGGGGUAACGGUGUAGCAUGGCCGCCCAGGCAAAUCCGGGUGGUCGCGACGUGUGAGACCGGAUGCCGAGCCGGUGUGGCGAAGUGGGUGAUCCCUGGCUGCCGAGAAAAGCCUCUAGCGAGGGGCCGCGUGGUCCGUACCCGAAACCGACACAGGUGGUCUGGUAGAGCAUACCGAGGCGAGCGGGAUAACCGUGGUUAAGGAAUUCGGCAAAAUGUCCCCGUAACUUCGGGAGAAGGGGAGCCGCCGCUGGUGAUCCCCCUAUGGCGGGG
Molecule: non-coding RNA, 1933 nt
Organism: Actinopolyspora erythraea
Lineage: Bacteria; Bacillati; Actinomycetota; Actinomycetes; Actinopolysporales; Actinopolysporaceae
Source: Rfam